AACAGAAAAACCAACAAAGUUCGUGUUGGACCAUCAGGGGGUCAUCUGCUGGGUUCCCGAAGCUGCGACGGGUGACGGCCGAAGCUCAGCAAGCUGUUCAAAUCAGAGGAUCCACAACUCCACUUGAAGUGCGGGGAUUGCUUCCAGUUCGAGCGCAAAGGUAUCACACUAAUUUUUCUUUGGGACAGUGAUUCCAGCUCGCGCAAGAGAAGCUGUGGGGACGCCAUCCAUCCAGUCGCAGCAGAAUUGUCGCUUCUGGGGUUAUGGACGAACCAGUUGACGUGAUGGAGGAGGAAAGAAGUCUUGAAACACACAACCAGCUCUAGCAACGGGCGGGGAGGAAAAAGCUGCUCCAGAAGAACGAGCUGAGGCGUCUUUUUACACUUCUCGGCUGCUUUUGUUGGUUUUCUAGCUGAUCUUGGUUCCAGCGGCAGCAGCAAAGCAGAAGCAUCCCUGUGCCUACGACUUCGUUUGUCCUACUUUUUCACUGAAUCUCUAGUUUUCUGAUGCU
Selaginella moellendorffii is the source of this 511-nucleotide long non-coding RNA. RefSeq lists it as uncharacterized. NCBI's taxonomy places the organism in Eukaryota, Viridiplantae, Streptophyta, Lycopodiopsida, Selaginellales, Selaginellaceae. The transcript is spliced from 3 exons. The record is from RefSeq and is a predicted model, not a curated record.